GAUGAGGUGACCGAGUGGUGAACGCGAUGCACUGCUAAUCCAUUGUGCUCUGCACACAUGGCUUCAAAUCCCAUCCUCGUCG
Cuculus canorus (common cuckoo) is the source of this 82-nucleotide transfer RNA. It matches the Rfam family "tRNA". Rfam says of the family: Transfer RNA (tRNA) molecules are approximately 80 nucleotides in length. Their secondary structure includes four short double-helical elements and three loops (D, anti-codon, and T loops). The record is from Rfam. NCBI's taxonomy places the organism in Eukaryota, Metazoa, Chordata, Aves, Cuculiformes, Cuculidae.